This 82-nucleotide transfer RNA is filed under the name Schistocerca americana (American grasshopper). RNAcentral's name for it is "tRNA-Ser". It matches the Rfam family "tRNA". Rfam says of the family: Transfer RNA (tRNA) molecules are approximately 80 nucleotides in length. Their secondary structure includes four short double-helical elements and three loops (D, anti-codon, and T loops). Lineage: Eukaryota; Metazoa; Arthropoda; Insecta; Orthoptera; Acrididae. The record is from RNAcentral. RNAcentral also lists the same sequence under 1 other name.
GCAGUCGUGGCCGAGUGGUUAAGGCGUCUGACUUGAAAUCAGAUUCCCUCUGGGGGCGUAGGUUCGAGUCCUGCCGACUGCG